GAUCCUGGCUCAGAAUCAACGCUGGCGGCGCGCUUAACACAUGCAAGUCGAACGAGAAAGGGGAGCAAUCCCUGAGUACAGUGGCGUACGGGUGAGUAACACGUGGAUGAUCUAUCUCUUAGUGGGGAAUAACCCUGGGAAACCGGGGAUAAUACCGCAUAAGCUCGAGAGAGGAAAGCAGCAAUGCGCUGAGAGAGGAGUCCGCGGCCGAUUAGCUAGUUGGCAGGGUAAAAGCCUACCAAGGCAGAGAUCGGUAGCCGGCCUGAGAGGGCACACGGCCACACUGGCACUGAAACACGGGCCAGACUCCUACGGGAGGCAGCAGUGGGGAAUCUUGCACAAUGGGGGAAACCCUGAUGCAGCGACGCCGCGUGAGCGAUGAAGCCCUUCGGGGUGUAAAGCUCUUUCGGCAGGGAAGAUUAUGACGGUACCUGCAGAAGCAGCUGCGGCUAACUACGUGCCAGCAGCCGCGGUAAUACGUAGGCAGCGAGUGUUGUUCGGAGUUACUGGGCGUAAAGGGUGUGUAGGCGGUUGUUUAAGUUUGGUGUGAAAUCUCCCGGCUCAACUGGGAGGGUGCGCCGAAUACUGAAUGACUUCGAGUGCGGGAGAGGUGAGUGGAAUUCCUGGUGUAGCGGUGAAAUGCGUAGAUAUCAGGAGGAACACCGGUGGUGUAGACGGCUCACUGGACCG
This 690-nucleotide ribosomal RNA is filed under the name uncultured Acidobacteriota bacterium. RNAcentral describes it as "bacterial SSU rRNA". It matches the Rfam family "Bacterial small subunit ribosomal RNA", at positions 15 to 736 of the family's 1533-position model. The record is from RNAcentral. Lineage: Bacteria; Pseudomonadati; Acidobacteriota.